AUUGAACGCUGGCGGCAGGCCUAACACAUGCAAGUCGAACGGUAACAGGAAGCAGCUUGCUGCUUUGCUGACGAGUGGCGGACGGGUGAGUAAUGUCUGGGAAACUGCCUGAUGGAGGGGGAUAACUACUGGAAACGGUAGCUAAUACCGCAUAACGUCGCAAGACCAAAGAGGGGGACCUUCGGGCCUCUUGCCAUCGGAUGUGCCCAGAUGGGAUUAGCUAGUAGGUGGGGUAACGGCUCACCUAGGCGACGAUCCCUAGCUGGUCUGAGAGGAUGACCAGCCACACUGUAACUGAGACACGGUCCAGACUCCUACGGGAGGCAGCAGUGGGGAAUAUUGCACAAUGGGCGCAAGCCUGAUGCAGCCAUGCCGCGUGUAUGAAGAAGGCCUUCGGGUGGUAAAGUACUUUCAACGGGGAGGAAGGGAGUAAAGUUAAUACCUUUGCACAUUGACGUUACGCGCAGAAGAAGCACCGGCUAACUCCGUG
This 490-nucleotide ribosomal RNA is filed under the name uncultured bacterium. RNAcentral describes it as "partial 16S ribosomal RNA". It matches the Rfam family "Bacterial small subunit ribosomal RNA", at positions 30 to 507 of the family's 1533-position model. The record is from RNAcentral.